CCUCCUCCUUCUCACGAAUCCCUUUCCUCCCUUCUGUUUUUCCAUCCCCCACAGAUCAGAAAUGUGAAGGGGGUUAGGAGAUGUCCAGACUCCAAACAGAAAAAACUGUGAUCCUCAACAGACACAAGACAUAAUAUUGGAUUCUCUCCAGCCUCAUCCUGGGAAAAAUACAGGAGACUGAAGGGAAACAGGAAAGCAAAGACACAGAUACCAGGACACUUCCUUUUGAACACUUGGCUGCAGAAGUUAAGAGACGUGGGAUACGCGAAUUGAUUCUUACAUGAUAUGAGAGAUACAGGGGAGAGAAUUAUGAGAAGUGCUGCCAUGAAUUUUGCUUUCCCACCAUCAGUGCAAGAGCCCAAAAUGUUCUCAAUCAAAUCUGCUCACCCACUUCCAGAAACACGUCCGCGAGGGUGAUCAAUCCAUCUCCUGAAAUUUCCGUUUCUCUCAAUACACUGUGCUGCCAAAUUCUCUGAAGUCCCUGAACCUCAAAAUUCCAAAUAUCAAAGUCAGUGCCAGGAGUGAAACCUGAAAGAUAAAAGCAGAGAAGUUCCCCUCUGCCAUCCCUGGGUUUCCUCUUCUCAAUAAUAAUAAUUAUAACAACAGUAAUUUAAAAAAAUUACUGGUUCUCUGUAAUUACGGAAAAAGAAAGACUUUUUGCCAAGAUCGUCUCCUCUCCUUUCCUCGCUCCUGCUCCCCCAUUCUUUGCCAACAAGGUCUUCCCUCCCACCUGAGGGCUGGACCCCGUGUGAUUCCCGUGACGCGCUGCUUCUCCUGAGCACUCUACGGCUGCCCUCUAGGCAAAGCCAGCACCGGUCAAAUGGGGAGAAACCAGAGACAGGAUGGUGCUCGCGCACGCAGGAGGUCUCAGCGGAACCUGCGUGAGAACUUGUGAGUGACCUCCAGGGCAUCCUAAUUCUUGAUCACUCAUCACCACCUCACUUCUGUUCCUCUCCCCAACCCUGACCUUCGACACUGGGGGGUCUGAGUGAAGGGGGACCUGCCUGGAAUCAGGGCCCAGGAAAGGAGGGGAGAAAGGGGCUCUUUCACAGUCUGUGAUUCAAUCUCAGCAUGUCCAAGGACUACACUGGAGGCUUUCCACCGCUAUCCCAGUCGGUUCCAACAAAGAUAAAAAAUGAAUGUUCCCUAUUUUCUUGUGUAAUUCCAGUCACCAGAAGAAAGUUACAGACCAUGAACUGCAGACUCAGGACGAUAAAUUGGCAAAGCAGCACUGUGAUGAAAGAGCUCCUGGCAGCAGUGUAAAUACUGCAGCCCAGUAGAAAGAGUCUAAGACGAGGAGGCAUGAGGACAAGAUGAUCUGUAAUUGCCCUUGUUCGAAUGGGUGAGAUCUCGCCGUUCCCAUACAUUCACAGAGGAACCCACAGAGUGAACUGUACACCAAGUGAGCAGAGGAAAAGCAGGAUUAUCACAGGAAGGGUAAACAGGCCCCUCCCUAACCUGGAGUACCCUCACAACAUUUGCUCAGCAAUUUAUGUCAAGUCUGCUUUUAAUCCUGCUGUAGAUACCUGAAUGAGCCCACUAUCCCAGUCACGUCCUGAACCCAAAGAAUUCAUCUAGGCUCAUACGCUGCCCUAUUGACAUUGAUGCUCUUUUCCUGGGUCCCCCACAUCAUCUCUCCAAUUUGUGUGACCAUCCCACACCCCACCACCAUUUUUAGUUUUUAUGUUAGCUCUCAUUCUGACCGGCACUGUGGGUUAAUGUUUUAAUUUUUAUCUUACCAUCCCAACUCCUACCUCAAAGCCUUUCUCCUAGUUGGAAUCUAGCCUCGAGUCCUAAGGUGCCAUCCACCCUUGAGAUUCACAUCCUUGUCUGUUUUGUGUCCAAUUAUAUCUUCUAUUCAUUUGACUUCACAUGAAUAAUUAAAAUCAGAAUUUGAAUGGUC
Molecule: long non-coding RNA, 1903 nt
Organism: Chlorocebus sabaeus (green monkey)
Lineage: Eukaryota; Metazoa; Chordata; Mammalia; Primates; Cercopithecidae
Source: RefSeq, a predicted model, not a curated record